UACGUAGGUCCCGAGCGUUGUCCGGAUUUAUUGGGCGUAAAGCGAGCGCAGGUGGUUUAUUAAGUCUGGUGUAAAAGGCAGUGGCUCAACCAUUGUAUGCAUUGGAAACUGGUAGACUUGAGUGCAGGAGAGGAGAGUGGAAUUCCAUGUGUAGCGGUGAAAUGCGUGGAUAUAUGGAGGAACACCGGUGGCGAAAGCGGCUCUCUGGCCUGUAACUGACACUGAGGCUCGAAAGCGUGGGGAGCAAACAGG
Molecule: ribosomal RNA, 252 nt
Filed under: uncultured bacterium
Lineage: Bacteria
Description: partial 16S ribosomal RNA
Rfam family: Bacterial small subunit ribosomal RNA
Source: RNAcentral